CCAAAGGCUCUUUUCAGAGCCACCACUUAUACAAAUUAAGACAUGA
This is a non-coding RNA of Xiphophorus maculatus (southern platyfish), 46 nucleotides long. Lineage: Eukaryota; Metazoa; Chordata; Actinopteri; Cyprinodontiformes; Poeciliidae. The record is from Rfam.